RNAcentral lists this ribosomal RNA (248 nucleotides) under uncultured Muribaculaceae bacterium. RNAcentral describes it as "partial 16S ribosomal RNA". It matches the Rfam family "Bacterial small subunit ribosomal RNA", at positions 524 to 772 of the family's 1533-position model. Lineage: Bacteria; Pseudomonadati; Bacteroidota; Bacteroidia; Bacteroidales; Muribaculaceae. The record is from RNAcentral.
UACGGAGGAUGCGAGCGUUAUCCGGAUUUAUUGGGUUUAAAGGGUGCGUAGGCGGCGCGACAAGUCAGCGGUAAAAAUUCGGGGCUCAACCCCGUCCGGCCGUUGAAACUGUCGUGCUCGAGUGAGCGAGAAGUAUGCGGAAUGCGAGGUGUAGCGGUGAAAUGCAUAGAUAUCACGCAGAACUCCGAUUGCGAAGGCAGCAUACCGGCGCUCAACUGACGCUGAGGCACGAAAGCGUGGGGAUCAAA